GAAUUCCUUAUGCCAUAGGGUCUAUUUAUACUUGUAGACUCCUUAAGGGUUACAACCUAAACCCUAAUUGGAUAAUCUUCUCUUAAAGCUAUCCAAAUCCAUUCCUUAGAUAACCCCUUGGACGAUUUAAAGCUAUCCUAGCUUCUAGAAUCCGUCCAAUACAUAUCUAUAUGGAUUUACAGUCUAAAGUUUAACUAUCAAACAAUUGACAGUUUAUACCCUCUUAUUUAAUUAAUCUCUUUAAGUCACCAAAUUAAUUCCAAUUAAUUCUAUGACUUAUAUUAAUCAAAUAACAAUAUAUUAUUCUUUAUAUUAUUCUCAUAAUAUACUAAUAAUAUUUACUCUCUCUUAAUAAAUCAUCCUAUCAAGUUGCUAUGGUGAAGGCAACCCAAAAGGACCAUGCACAGCCUAAUAUAGUUACAGCCUUAGACACUAUUCCAACAGUCUCCCACUUGGAUAAGUCUAGUAACUAUACAAGUACAAUUCGGUUUGCAAUCGUAGCUCUCAAAGACGCUGUCAACUCUGAUCUAAUCAAUCUUGUCCUUUAGAUAAGGGAACGUACAGUCCUCUGUUAGAUAUCAUGCUGACAAUCCUAUGGAAUGGUUAGUCAAGCAUUUAGGUUUCUCGAUCUCUGAUUUAUUUGACAUAGAACUUAAUCGAACACAUCAAUUCAGUUCUGACCGGGCCCGGCACAUAAGUCAAAUCAAAUCAUCGAGCGGCCGAGAUAUCGCUUUUACCUUCUUAGAUAAAAGUUACAGAUAAACUUCGACUUAUAUGCAUUUACUUAUUCAUUUACCAACUAUACACAACAAUACGUUUUAUAACACCAAGUUACUGAUGCGUUUUCGUAUUAUCAAUGUACAAUCAAUUAACAAAUAAUAAACCAUAUAUCUAGGUUUUAAGACUAUAUGAUAUUAUCGUCUUGCGAUCACCUUUUAUAUCGUAUUCCAUAAGGUGAUUCCAGCAAGCGCGGGUUUAUUCCAAUGCUCAAAACUAGUUCAUAAGCACUCAUGAACGUUGCAGCAAUCCUUUGCUAUGUCUAACACCAUUUAGACAUUCUACACACCAAUUCAUGACAAUCUUCAUUCAUAUCUACUCCCAACAUAUGAACGAUUGUGGACCAUUUGAACAAUUCGAUUAUUCCUAAUAAACUCAAUUAUUCUGGAAGUCAAAACAUGCAAAGUGAAACAAUAGCUAAACAAUUAACAUAAGAUAGUAACAUUACUCAUAAAUAAAACUCCUUUAUUUAAUCAUCAAAUGUUAAUUACAUUUAUCUAUUACACGUUUCUAAUACUAUCUAAUCUAUGCUAAUAUCAUCCUUCAGCCCAAUACUCCUAGCAUGCUGCAAGUGCUUAACCCUACUCAGUCCCUUCGUAAGCGGAUCUGCUGGGUUAUCUUCUGAUGAUAUCCUCUUCACUACGAGUUGUCCUUCUUCUACACGAUGUCUAAUGAAGUGAUACUUUCUGUCGAUAUGUCUUGAUCUACCAUGAUCCCUCGGUUCCUUGGUUAAGGCAACCGCGCCUUCGUUAUCACAGAAAAUCUCCAUUGGCUCCUUUAUGGCAGGUACAACUCCAAGAUCACCGAUGAAGUUCUUUAGCCAUAUUGCCUCCUUCGACGCUUCGCUCGCUGCAAUGUACUCUGAUUCGCACGUUGAAUCAGCUACGGUUUCCUGCUUGGAACUCUUCCAUGUCACUGCUCCUCCAUUUAGGGUAAAGACCCAGCCCGACUGCGAACGGUAGUUGUCCCUGUCGGUCUGAAAACUGGCGUCACUAUACCCUCGCACCUUCAAGUCAUCACUCCCUCCGAGGACUAAGAACCAUUCCUUCGUCCUCCGAAGGUACUUAAGGAUAUUCUUCACCGCAAUCCAAUGUGCUUUGCCAGGAUUCCCUUGAUAUCUGCUAACCAUGCUCAAAGCGAAGGCUACAUCAGGGCGAGUACAAGUCAUAGCGUACAUGAUUGAGCCAACUGCGGAAGCGUAUGGUACUCGGCUCAUUUCUGCUAUCUCAGCUUCGGUACUCGGACUUUGAGUCUUACUCAAUUUGGCAUUACUUUGUAUCGGUAGUUCUCCCUUCUUUGAGUUUUCCAUACUAAAACGUUUUAGUACCUUCUCUAAGUAAGUAUUCUGACUAAGUCCAAUUAGUCUCUUACUUCUUUCUCUUACUAUCCUUAUUCCCAAAAUGUAAGAAGCCUCUCCGAGGUCCUUCAUAGCGAAGCACUUCCCGAGCCAGGACUUAACCUCCUGCAGAGUCGGGAUGUCGUUUCCUAUGAGUAAUAUGUCAUCGACAUAUAGAACGAGGAAGCUUACUAUACUCCCACUGGCUUUGACAUAUACACAAGAUUCGUCUUCGCUUCGUACAAAUCCAAACUCUUUGACUUUCUCAUCGAAGCAAAGAUUCCAUCUGCGAGACGCUUGCUUAAGUCCAUAAAUGGACUUCUCAAGCUUACACACUCUAUCCGGAUGCUUCGGAUCCACAAACCCCUCUGGCUGAGCCAUGUAAACAUCCUCAGCCAACUUUCCGUUAAGGAAAGCGGUCUUGACAUCCAUUUGCCAAAUCUCAUAAUCAUGAAAUGCGGCAAUAGCUAGCAUCACUCUAAUAGAUUUAAUCUUCGCAACUGGUGAGAAGGUCUCAUCAUAGUCAACUCCGGGAGUUUGAGUAAAGCCCUUCGCAACCAAUCGCGCUUUAUAUGUGUGUACGUUUCCAUCCACGUCGGUCUUCUUCUUGAAGAUCCAUUUGCACCCAACGGUCUUACGUCCGGGCACAUAAUCAACCAAAUUCCAAACUUGGUUAUCAUACAUGGAUUGGAUCUCGCUAUCCAUUGCCUCUUUCCAUUUUGCAGACUCCGGGCCUGCCAUGGCUUCCUUAUAGCUAUUAGGUUCAUCAAGAUUUACUAGUGUACCAUCACUAAUAUACGUGUCCCCUUCGGUAGUAAUAUGAAAACCAUAAAACUGGGGAUGAACUCUAACUCUAUCGGAACGUCUAAGAGGUAAGGAUUCGUCAAUCGGUUCAACCGGAGUUUCCUCCUCGGGUUGAGUGCCAGCGGUAGAGGUUCCUUCAUCUAUCGACUCUUGAAUCUCUUCAAGUUCGAUUUGCCUCCCACUGUCUCCUUGGCUUAUGAGUUCUCGCUCUCGGAAAACUCCUCUCCUCGCAACGAAGACAACAUUGUCCUUCGGUCUAUAGAAGAGAUAUCCAAAGGAUGUCUGCGGGUAGCCGAUGAAAAUACAUCGCUCACUUCGAGGUUCAAGCUUGUCGUGAGUAUCUCGUCUUACGAAAGCCUCGCAACCCCAAACCUUGAUAUGUGCCAACGAGGGAGCUUUCCCUGUCCACAUCUCGUGAGGUGUUUUGGCAACCUUCUUAGUAGGGACUCGGUUAAGGAUAUGGGCGGCAGUCUCUAAGGCAUACCCCCAAAAAGAGAUAGGUAGUGAAGCACGACUCAUCAUAGAGCGAACCAUAUCCAAUAAGGUUCGAUUACGCCUUUCUGCCACACCAUUCAACUGCGGUGUCCUAGGAGGCGUCAAUUGUGAAACUAUUCCACACUCCUUGAGAUAAUCGUGGAAUUCAAGACUUAGGUACUCUCCUCCUCGAUCGGAUCGAAGCAUCUUGAUUUUCCUGCCCAAUUGAUUCUCCACUUCAUUCUUGAACUCUUUGAACUUUUCAAAGGUUUCUGACUUUUGCUUGAUUAAAUAGAUAUACCCAUAUCUACUAUAAUCAUCGGUAAAAGUCACGUAGAAGCGGUUCCCAUCCUUCGUGGUUGAUCUAAACGGUCCACAUACAUCGGUAUGUAUUAAGUCCAAUAGACCCUCACCCCUUUCACACGUACUCGUGAAGGGUGACUUAGUCAUCUUUCCAAGUAAACAAGACUCGCAUGUGUCAUCUUCCCUAAGGUCGAAUGACUCCAACACUCCAUCCUUUUGGAGUUGGGCUAUGCGUUUCUUGUUGACAUGUCCAAGACGACAAUGCCACAAGGAUGCUUUAUCCAUACUAGUGGAAGAAUCUAUGUUCAAAACAUCAUUUCCUAAGUUAUCAACAAUCAUAACAGUUUCAUAAAUUCCAUUACAUGGUAUAGCUUCAAAGUAAAAGACACCAUUUAGAUAAGCCAAAAUAGAACCAUUCUCAUUAUUAAAAGAAAAUCUAAAACCUUGUCUAUAUAAACCAUGAAAUGAAAUGAUGUUUCUAGCCAUUUCUGGCGAAUAGCAACAAUUGUUCAAAUCUAAACAUAAAUUAUUCCUAAGCACUAAAGAAUACACUCCAAUCUUGGUCACAGGCGACGAUCUUCUGUUCCCCAUGAUUAGAUUGAUUCUUCCUUGCUCCACAUCCCUACUUCUUCUUAGUCCCUGCACAUUAGAACAAAUGUGGUAACCACAACCGGUAUCAAGAACCCAAGAAAUAGCAUGAUUAGAAUCGUUAGAUUUAAUUGUGUAUAUACCUGCGAAAGAUGGCUUGAUCUUUCCUUCCUUGAUGGCUUGCAGGUACUCUGGGCAGCUUCUCUUCCAAUGUCCUAUCUUGUGGCAGUGGUGGCACUCUGCCUCCUUAGGGUUAGGGCAGGGCUUAGCGGGAUCAACUUUGGUCCCACUAGAAGAGGCACCAUCUCGGGCUUUAACCUUGCGAUAGUUCUUAGACGAAGCCUUCCUCUUCUUUCCCUUUCCUUGACCAAUAGCCAAGACAGGAGCAGCGGGUGGAUUGGGAGUUGGUGCAACAGACUUGUCUUUGAAGUUGCUCUCAGCGACCCUCAAGAGACCUUGGAGUUUGCUUAGGGUGACCUCCUCUUUGUUCAUGUGGUAGGUCAUCCUAAAUUGAUUGUACAUCGGAGGCAAAGAGUGAAGCACCAUGUCGAUCGCCAAGUCUUCCCCAAAGUCAACAUUUAACUUGCGAAGGCGGUCGACAUACCUUUGCAUCUUUUGCAGGUGCACGGUAAGAGAUUCUCCAUGACCCAUCUUAGCGGAAAUCAUGUUAGUGAAAAUCUCAUAACGCUCUUGUCUCGCGUUUUGGUGGUAUCUCUCCAAUAAGUCUUGAUGCAUCUCGUACGGGUACAUGUCCUCGUAGGACUUUUGGAAUUCGGAGUUCAUGGUGGCUAUCAUGAUGCAAUGUACCUUCGUUGCAUCGCGCUCAUGAGUUUCAAAAGCGGUCAUUUCAGCCGGAGUAGCGAUUUCAGGGUUGAUUUUCUCGAGCUUCUCAUCGAGGACAUACUCCUUAUCCUCAUAGCGAGCAAUGGUGCGAAUGUAUCUUAUCCAUUCGCUAAAGUUCGUUCCAUCGAAGGUGACCUUUUGGCAAAGGCUCAUCAACGUGAAAGAACUAGCAGCAGCGUUGUUUGCGUUCGACAUCUACAAUUAAAAAAGGACAAAGAUAGAUUAGAAUAAGAAUCCCUAAUUAUCACCCAAUAAGAAAAAUUAGGGCUAGGAUCCAACAAUAACAUUUACAUAUUAGAAAAGGGAUGCCGUAAUCUAACAUGCAAAUAAAUUGAAGGUAAGUGAAUGACGAUUCACUAAUUCUCCACCAUAAAAACCUAACUAUAAGUCCUAAAUGUAUUGAGAAUUCCUAGGUUCGGAUGAGAUUCAUUGAAACUAUUCAAUGGCAUGUUUAAAUCUCGAUAUGCCCCUCUUGUUUGUGACUGGGAUACCGAGGAUCACAAAGCGGGUGUGAAUUACCAUGCAAAUUCACAUGGUGCCUUCAUUGUAACGAUCACCUAUUCGAUGUGCCGGUAAACCACACACGCUCCAUCGAACUAUGAUAAACAAUGAAUCACCCUUUGCCACCUUUGCUUAGAACCAAUUAGUGUGCCGGUAAACCACACACGCUCCACUAACUUCUUAGCAAGGGUGCAAAGUGUAAUUUCAUGGGAUUGCAUCAAUUCACUUUUCCUAAAGUAACUAGGAUUGGGAAAUUUUAAAAUAUGUGUAGUUACUUUGUAUUUCUUAUUAUACUUUUAAUGAGAGGAUGAGGUUGCCCUAUCCUACCCGUUCGGCUAACGACCCUCCACCGAUCAAGCAAGCGGUGGGUGUGAGUGUACACCCAUUAAGCGCCAUUUUAUAGGCCGCAACCUUAUACCCACCUUAUAGAUCGGCUUCGUGAAUGAGGCCUACUAACGGUAAGACUAGCAUUUAGUUAUACAUAUAUAUAUUAUUCUUGUAAUAUUAUAUUAGUAUAGGGUUGUAUUUUAAACCUUUUAAAAUCUAGGGUUUGAAAUUUAAAUUGUCUAAAUUAAAACUUUUAAUCACAAAAUAUAAAUUUCAAAACUUGAGGACAAGUUUUAAACAUUUAAAACAUGGAGGAUCAAAUAACAAAUAAUUUCAAUUAACAAUUAAUUUCCUAAUUAUCUAUAUUUGAUUUAUUCAAGAUUUCUUUCAAGAUAAUUACCAAAAUAAUCAAAAUAAUUAAUUAAUUAUCAUAUAAGGAAAUUAAAUAUUUUAUUAGUUGAUAAAUAUCUUUAAUUAGAUCAAGAUUAUAGUCAUAUAUAUCAAAAAAUCGGAUUAGGGUUGAUCUAAUAUGAUUAAGGUAAGUUUCCAUAAGAUAAUCAUGAAGAAAUCCCGAAUCUGGCCAUUCCUGACGCUUGGACUCGCCGAGUGCACCAAGGGACUCGCCGAGUCAGGCCAACUCGCCGAGUCCACUAUGGAACUCGCCGAGUCCAUGACUCAGAAACACAAAAAUCGAAUUUUGCAGUUUAGUUUCAGACAAUUAAGCAACAAUUUAAUGAAAACCAAGCUAGGCUCUGAUACCACUGAUGGGUUUUAGCCAUAAGAACUUUCCUAUGUGCGCAUGCAAAACCCUAAUGCUUGGAUCUAGGCUUUCUAAUUAAACAUGCUUUGAAUCCAAGACUUCUAAUGACUAUUUAGGAAUAAGAACAAUGUUAAAACAGAUCUAGAAUCAUACCUUUGAAUUCCUUGUUGAUCUUGUUGUCUUGGAGCUUCUAGAGUCACAAUUGUCACUCCUCUAAUGGCUUACAAACACCAAAUAGCAAGGAGGAUGAUUUGGGAGAGAGGAGAGGGGAGGAAUUCGGCCAGGGCUUCUCUACUUUUGGUGAAGUAUCGAUUUCCUUAUGCCAUAGGGUCUAUUUAUACUUGUAGACUCCUUAAGGGUUACAACCUAAACCCUAAUUGGAUAAUCUUCUCUUAAAGCUAUCCAAAUCCAUUCCUUAGAUAACCCCUUGGACGAUUUGAAGCUAUCCUAGCUUCUAGAAUCCGUCCAAUACAUAUCUAUAUGGAUUUACAGUCUAAAGUUUAACUAUCAAACAAUUGACAGUUUAUACCCUCUUAUUUAAUUAAUCUCUUUAAGUCACCAAAUUAAUUCCAAUUAAUUCUAUGACUUAUAUUAAUCAAAUAACAAUAUAUUAUUCUUUAUAUUAUUCUCAUAAUAUAAUAAUAAUAUUUACUCUCUCUUAAUAAAUCAUCCUAUCAAGUUGCUAUGGUGAAGGCAACCCAAAAGGACCAUGC
Molecule: long non-coding RNA, 7426 nt
Filed under: Lactuca sativa (garden lettuce)
Lineage: Eukaryota; Viridiplantae; Streptophyta; Magnoliopsida; Asterales; Asteraceae
Description: long non-coding RNA (LSAT_LNC007683)
Source: RNAcentral